CGAUUAUUGUCAGAUCAUCGUUUUGUGAUUGGCAUUAUGGGAAUCCAAACCGCUUUCAAAGUAACAAUUAGUGGGCAAGCCUGGUGCCAGCAACCGCAAUAAUUUCAGCUCCAGCAGAGUAUAUCAAAGUUGUUGCAGUUAAAAAAGCUCGCAGUUGGAUAUCUGCAGGAAGCAAUCAGUCCGCCCUUUUGGUAAUGGUGUGCACUUGAUGGAUUCUGGCAUGAUUUCAUCCAAAUGAUGGCGCAUAUAUUGGGUUGACUCCUGAUACACUAUUCACUGGAUGACAGUUACUAUGGGAAGAUUAGAGUGUUCGAAGCAGGCUUAUAUAUAUAUAUGAGUACUGCAGCACGAAAUCGCAAUAUAGGGUUUGAGUUCUAUUUUGUUGGUUUCUAGGACUAAAAUAGUGAUUAAUAGGGACAGUUGGGGGCACUUGUAUUAAGCUAUCAGAGGUGGAGUUCUUAGAUUCGUUAAAGACGAGCUACGUGAAAGAAUAUGUCAAAGGUGUUUACACUUAUCAAGAACGAAAGUUAGGGGCUCGAAGACGACCAUAUAUUGUCGUCGUCCGAACCAUAAACUAUGCCGACUAGAGAUUGGAAAGUGUUGCUUUUGACUUCUCCUGCACCUUGUGAGAAGUCCAAGUCUUUGAGUUCUCGGGGGAGUAUGGUCGAAAGGCUGAAACUUAAAGGAAUUGACGGGAGGGCACCAGCAGGCGUGGAGCCUGCGGCGUAAUUUGGCUCAACACGGGGAAACUCACCAGUCCCCAAAAAAAAAAAAUAAA
Molecule: ribosomal RNA, 778 nt
Filed under: Sarcocystis buffalonis
Lineage: Eukaryota; Apicomplexa; Conoidasida; Eucoccidiorida; Sarcocystidae
Description: SSU rRNA
Rfam family: Eukaryotic small subunit ribosomal RNA
Source: RNAcentral